AUUGAACGCUGCCGGCAGGCUUAACACAUGCAAGUCGAACGAGUGGCGGACGGGUGAGUAAUGCUUGGGCAUCUAGCUUAUGGAGGGGGAUAAAUAGGGGAAACCGUAGCUAAUACCGCGUACCAUAGGAUGAGCCCAAGAGGGAUUAGGUAGUUGGUGAGGGAAAGGCUCACCAAGCCGACGAUCUCUAGCUGGUCUGAGAGGAUGACCAGACACACUGGGACUGAGACACGUCCCUGACUCCGACGGUAGGCAGCAGUGGGGAAUAGUGCACAAUGGGCGCAAGCCUGAUGCAGCCAUGCCGCGUAUAUGAAGAAGGCCUUAGGGUUGUAAAGUACUUGCAACGGAGAGGCGUUACCCGCAGAAGAAGCACCGGCUAACUCCGUGCCAGCCGCCGCGGUAAUAC
This 406-nucleotide ribosomal RNA is filed under the name uncultured bacterium. RNAcentral describes it as "partial 16S ribosomal RNA". It matches the Rfam family "Bacterial small subunit ribosomal RNA", at positions 30 to 526 of the family's 1533-position model. The record is from RNAcentral.